Molecule: ribosomal RNA, 397 nt
Filed under: uncultured bacterium
Lineage: Bacteria
Description: partial 16S ribosomal RNA
Rfam family: Bacterial small subunit ribosomal RNA
Source: RNAcentral
AUACGAAGGGUGCAAGCGUUACUCGGAAUUACUGGGCGUAAAGCGUGCGUAGGUGGUUGUUUAAGUCUGUCGUGAAAGCCCUGGGCUCAACCUGGGAAUGGCGAUGGAAACUGGGCGACUAGAGUGUGGCAGAGGGUAGUGGAAUUCCUGGUGUAGCAGUGAAAUGCGUAGAGAUCAGGAGGAACAUCCGUGGCGAAGGCGACUGCCUGGGCCAACACUGACACUGAGGCACGAAAGCGUGGGGAGCAAACAGGAUUAGAUACCCUGGUAGUCCACGCCCUAAACGAUGCGAACUGGAUGUCGGGUGCAAUUUGGCACGCAGUAUCGAAGCUAACGCGUUAAGUUCGCCGCCUGGGGAGUACGGUCGCAAGACUUAAACUCAAAGGAAUUGACGGGG